GUCUUGCACGGGCUUUUUUAAACUUUAAAAAAAAUUCUAAAGUUUGAACUUUUUUUUUUUUAAAUUUGUUAAUUUCUCUUUUUGAAUGAAAAUGUCAUUGAAUAUUAAGCAUUUUGUGAAUUGCACUAAAAUAGUAUGUUAGAAAGCGAUUAACUGUUUAAAAUGCUUAAUUACUUAAGUAAUUAAAACACUGCCGUAAAUGAGUUGGAUAAUACUUAAAACUAAGAUUUCAAUAAUUGUUUUUCAAAGUUUUCACUUGCACAGAUAUAAUUUCGUUUCACGUGGAUAAUAUCUGGCAGAUAUAGUCAAACGAAUGAACGUGAAAACGACGG
This is a non-coding RNA of Hydra vulgaris (swiftwater hydra), 332 nucleotides long. Lineage: Eukaryota; Metazoa; Cnidaria; Hydrozoa; Anthoathecata; Hydridae. The record is from RefSeq and is a predicted model, not a curated record.